CGGAAUAUGGUUCAGAGACAGGCGGGGAGCAGCUUGAGUCUUGCCUUAGCGUCGUGGCGUUAGCAGGACUGGUUUACAUUGCGGGGGGGAAGUUGUGUUAAUAGGGGCUGAGAGGUGCGGCGCGUCCCGGCUUAGCGUGAUGCGUGGCAGGAUGUCGUGGAUGCGUGGCGGCUUAGCAAAGAUAUGCUAAAGCUGCCAGCCGUGAUGCCGAGCAGAUCUCCAACAAGUAGUUCUUCAUGUUCACUCUGUUUUUUCAUCCAGUAAUGAUCAUCAUCCUACAUUCACCCUGUUGGAGGUAGGUGAAGGGAACACGACCUGAGAAAUGUCUACUUUAUUCCUGACUAGUCUCGCAGUAGCUUUUUCAGAGGACUGUGCCUGCCCUCUUCACCACCUACAUCCAAUUUCUCACAAUGUCAUCACCUUUCUCUGCCGUCCAGUCCAGUAAUGUUUCUCUUCUUUCACUGUGUUGUCCUGUCCAGUAUUGCUCGUGCGAAUGUCAGAAGUCUCCGCAUGUUGGUCAGUUGGCUUUUGUAGUCACUGUUUUCUUUUGUUUUUAUAUGCAUCUGAAGUUGUCUUGCCUUGUUCUUUCUUGUUUUGUCUUCGUGAUGUUGCUCUUCUUUCUCUUUCGUUGUUCAGUUCAGUUUGUGGGAAUGUCAAAAGUCGCUGUGUGUGGGUCAACUGGGGUUUUGCAGUCUCUAUUUUCUUUUGUUAUUACUCGUAUAUGCUCUUUUAUUGGUUUAUCCUACUCUUCUUCUUCGUUGUUUUGCGUCUGCACUUACUGCCAACAGAAAAUUAGAUGCUGUUUAGUAAAGUAAAUUCUGUAUUGCUGUUUAAAUUUUCUGUGAUUAAAUUGAUUCUUGCACCUGUUGCUUCCAUUAUUCCAUCAUUCUAUCUCUUUCUAAGCUCGCGCAAUGGUGUUUUCUCCCUAAUGUUCCGCUGGUAGUACUUAGCAGGGCAUCUUGUUCCACACUCUUGAUAUUUAUUUGCUUCUACAGAUAUUCUACGUAGUGUUUAUUCCACAUUCCGCGUGUUUCUGAUGUCAUGAUGUCUUGUUCUCUGUGACGUUAUGGUGCCUUACGAUGGCUGCAUUUAACGGAUUCUGGAGGAAAAUACUGUGGAUUCAAAUAAUUAAUGAGAAAAAUACCUAUUACAACCUGACUAAAUCAUCUGUGGCCUUUCAAGAUCCUUUUGGCUCUACUCUUUAAGGACUAGCACCAUCACUGAGCCUUUUUUCUGUCUUGUAGCCCAGAGUCAGAGGGCCAGAAUCUCUCCACUAUAGAAUAAUAAGAACAGUGCAUUUCAGAAUACGGACACAUUUCUCAAGAGUCUCUUCACGUUACUGCUUCGAUAAAACGCCACACUCUUGCCUUGCUGCAGCUCGUGUGCUCCUCUGAAGCCUCUUUGUUAGCGUUACCCUUACCUGUUGCCUUAAAAAUGUGUCGGCAGAGGUGCCUCCCCGCCGCGGCUCUCAUGUGAAAAGGUUUGUUUUUUGCAAGCGGGAUUUCACGGGUUGGGAAGAGUCAGUUUGGAUUUUCCCCGUGCCGGAGUAAAAGGGGGAGACAGUGGUGGCGGAGAUCAUGAAAAAGUGUGGGGGGGAAAAAAACAGACGGCGAUAUCUUUUAUGGAGGGCGAGUGUAUCACAGGCAGGGGGCGGCGCGACACCCUAACUCAGGGAGGGAAGGGCGUGAGCUUCCAGUGGGACGGGAGAUGAAAUGUAAAGUUAAAUUAAUCUGU
Molecule: long non-coding RNA, 1734 nt
Organism: Scylla paramamosain (green mud crab)
Lineage: Eukaryota; Metazoa; Arthropoda; Malacostraca; Decapoda; Portunidae
Exons: 2
Source: RefSeq, a predicted model, not a curated record